RNAcentral lists this ribosomal RNA (497 nucleotides) under uncultured bacterium. RNAcentral describes it as "partial 16S ribosomal RNA". It matches the Rfam family "Bacterial small subunit ribosomal RNA", at positions 28 to 507 of the family's 1533-position model. The record is from RNAcentral.
GAUGAACGCUGGCGGCGUGCCUAAUACAUGCAAGUCGAGCGAACGGACGAGAAGCUUGCUUCUCUGAUGUUAGCGGCGGACGGGUGAGUAACACGUGGAUAACCUACCUAUAAGACUGGGAUAACUUCGGGAAACCGGAGCUAAUACCGGAUAAUAUUUUGAACCGCAUGGUUCAAAAGUGAAAGACGGUCUUGCUGUCACUUGUAGAUGGAUCCGCGCUGCAUUAGCUAGUUGGUAAGGUAACGGCUUACCAAGGCAACGAUGCAUAUCCGACCUGAGAGGGGGAGCGGCCACACUGGAACGGAGACACGGUCCAGACGCCUACGGGAGGCAGAAGUAGGGAAUCUUCCGCAAUGGGCGAAAGCCUGACGGAGCAACGCCGCGUGAGUGAUGAAGGUCUUCGGAUCGUAAAACUCUGUUAUUAGGGAAGAACAUAUGUGUAAGUAACUGUGCACAUCUUGACGGUACCUAAUCAGAAAGCCACGGCUAACUACGUG